Small nuclear RNA from Talpa occidentalis (Iberian mole), 107 nucleotides. Lineage: Eukaryota; Metazoa; Chordata; Mammalia; Eulipotyphla; Talpidae. The record is from RefSeq and is a predicted model, not a curated record.
GUGUUGGUUCUGGCAGCACAUAUACUGAAAGUGGAGCAAUACAGAGAAGAUUAGCAUGGCCCUGUGUGAGAAAGACAUGCAUUCAUGGAGUGUAAUAAAAGAGUAAU